RNAcentral lists this ribosomal RNA (925 nucleotides) under Escherichia coli. Its description in RNAcentral is "partial 23S ribosomal RNA". It matches the Rfam family "Bacterial large subunit ribosomal RNA", at positions 323 to 1251 of the family's 2925-position model. Lineage: Bacteria; Pseudomonadati; Pseudomonadota; Gammaproteobacteria; Enterobacterales; Enterobacteriaceae. The record is from RNAcentral.
UGUGUGUUAGUGGAAGCGUCUGGAAAGGCGCGCGAUACAGGGUGACAGCCCCGUACACAAAAAUGCACAUAUUGUGAGCUCGAUGAGUAGGGCGGGACACGUGGUAUCCUGUCUGAAUAUGGGGGGACCAUCCUCCAAGGCUAAAUACUCCUGACUGACCGAUAGUGAACCAGUACCGUGAGGGAAAGGCGAAAAGAACCCCGGCGAGGGGAGUGAAAAAGAACCUGAAACCGUGUACGUACAAGCAGUGGGAGCACGCUUAGGCGUGUGACUGCGUACCUUUUGUAUAAUGGGUCAGCGACUUAUAUUCUGUAGCAAGGUUAACCGAAUAGGGGAGCCGAAGGGAAACCGAGUCUUAACUGGGCGUUAAGUUGCAGGGUAUAGACCCGAAACCCGGUGAUCUAGCCAUGGGCAGGUUGAAGGUUGGGUAACACUAACUGGAGGACCGAACCGACUAAUGUUGAAAAAUUAGCGGAUGACUUGUGGCUGGGGGUGAAAGGCCAAUCAAACCGGGAGAUAGCUGGUUCUCCCCGAAAGCUAUUUAGGUAGCGCCUCGUGAACUCAUCUCCGGGGGUAGAGCACUGUUUCGGCAAGGGGGUCAUCCCGACUUACCAACCCGAUGCAAACUGCGAAUACCGGAGAAUGUUAUCACGGGAGACACACGGCGGGUGCUAACGUCCGUCGUGAAGAGGGAAACAACCCAGACCGCCAGCUAAGGUCCCAAAGUCAUGGUUAAGUGGGAAACGAUGUGGGAAGGCCCAGACAGCCAGGAUGUUGGCUUAGAAGCAGCCAUCAUUUAAAGAAAGCGUAAUAGCUCACUGGUCGAGUCGGCCUGCGCGGAAGAUGUAACGGGGCUAAACCAUGCACCGAAGCUGCGGCAGCGACGCUUAUGCGUUGUUGGGUAGGGGAGCGUUCUGUAAGCCUG